Molecule: ribosomal RNA, 497 nt
Filed under: uncultured bacterium
Lineage: Bacteria
Description: partial 16S ribosomal RNA
Rfam family: Bacterial small subunit ribosomal RNA
Source: RNAcentral
GAUGAACGCUGGCGGCGUGCCUAAUACAUGCAAGUCGAGCGAACAGACGAGGAGCUUGCUCCUCUGACGUUAGCGGCGGAAGGGUGAGUAACACGUGGAUAACCUACCUAUAAGACUGGGAUAACUUCGGGAAACCGGAGCUAAUACCGGAUAAUAUAUUGAACCGCAUGGUUCAAUAGUGAAAGACGGUUUUGCUGUCACUUAUAGAUGGAUCCGCGCCGCAUUAGCUAGUUGGUAAGGUAACGGCUUACCAAGGCAACGAUGCGUAGCCGACCUGAGAGGGUGAUCGGCCACACUGGCACUGUGACACGGUCCAGACUCCUCCGGUAGGCAGCAGUAGGGAAUCUUCCGCAAUGGGCGAAAGCCUGACGGAGCAACGCCGCGUGAGUGAUGAAGGUCUUCGGAUCGUAAAACUCUGUUAUUAGGGAAGAACAAAUGUGUAAGUAACUAUGCACGUCUUGACGGUACCUAAUCAGAAAGCCACGGCUAACUACGUG